UGCUCUCUGUAACUAGCGGGGUGA
Molecule: non-coding RNA, 24 nt
Filed under: Mus musculus (house mouse)
Lineage: Eukaryota; Metazoa; Chordata; Mammalia; Rodentia; Muridae
Source: RNAcentral